Molecule: ribosomal RNA, 630 nt
Filed under: Bacillus thuringiensis
Lineage: Bacteria; Bacillati; Bacillota; Bacilli; Caryophanales; Bacillaceae
Description: bacterial SSU rRNA
Rfam family: Bacterial small subunit ribosomal RNA
Source: RNAcentral
CGAAUGGAUUAAGAGCUUGCUCUUAUGAAGUUAGCGGCGGACGGGUGAGUAACACGUGGGUAACCUGCCCAUAAGACUGGGAUAACUCCGGGAAACCGGGGCUAAUACCGGAUAACAUUUUGAACUGCAUGGUUCGAAAUUGAAAGGCGGCUUCGGCUGUCACUUAUGGAUGGACCCGCGCGCAUUAGCUAGUUGGUGAGGUAACGGCUCACCAAGGCAACGAUGCGUAGCCGACCUGAGAGGGUGAUCGGCCACACUGGGACUGAGACACGGCCCAGACUCCUACGGGAGGCAGCAGAGGGAAUCUUCCGCAAUGGACGAAAGUCUGACGGAGCAACGCCGCGUGAGUGAUGAGGCUUUCGGGUCGUAAAACUCUGUUGUUAGGGAAGAACAAGUGCUAGUUGAAUAAGCUGGCACCUUGACGGUACCUAACCAGAAAGCCACGGCUAACUACGUGCCAGCAGCCGCGGUAAUACGUAGGUGGCAAGCGUUAUCCGGAAUUAUUGGGCGUAAAGCGCGCGCAGGUGGUUUCUUAAGUCUGAUGUGAAAGCCCACGGCUCAACCGUGGAGGGUCAUUGGAAACUGGGAGACUUGAGUGCAGAAGAGGAAAGUGGAAUUCCAUGUGUAGCG